GGGAGAGAGCGCCGGGAUCCGGACGGGGAGCAACCGGGGCAGGCCGUGCCGGCUGAGGAGGUCCUGAGGCUACAGAGCUGCCGCGGCUGGCACACGAGCGCCUCGGCACUAACCGAGUGUUCGCGGGGGCUGUGAGGGGAGGGCCCCGGGCGCCAUUGCUGGCGGUGGGAGCGCCGCCCGGUCUCAGCCCGCCCUCGGCUGCUCUCCUCCUCCGGCUGGGAGGGGCCGUAGCUCGGGGCCGUCGCCAGCCCCGGCCCGGGCUCGAGAAUCAAGGGCCUCGGCCGCCGUCCCGCAGCUCAGUCCAUCGCCCUUGCCGGGCAGCCCGGGCAGAGACCAUGUUUGACAAGACGCGGCUGCCGUACGUGGCCCUCGAUGUGCUCUGCGUGUUGCUGGCUUCCAUGCCUAUGGCUGUUCUAAAAUUGGGCCAAAUAUAUCCAUUUCAGAGAGGCUUUUUCUGUAAAGACAACAGCAUCAACUAUCCGUACCAUGACAGUACCGUCACAUCCACUGUCCUCAUCCUAGUGGGGGUUGGCUUGCCCAUUUCCUCUCUGGAUUGCCUUUUGCAAUUCUUACUUCAAGGCAUACCCCCUUCCAACGAGGAGUAUUCUGUAAUGAUGAGUCCAUCAAGUACCCUUACAAAGAAGACACCAUACCUUAUGCGUUAUUAGGUGGAAUAAUCAUUCCAUUCAGUAUUAUCGUUAUUAUUCUUGGAGAAACCCUGUCUGUUUACUGUAACCUUUUGCACUCAAAUUCCUUUAUCAGGAAUAACUACAUAGCCACUAUUUACAAAGCCAUUGGAACCUUUUUAUUUGGUGCAGCUGCUAGUCAGUCCCUGACUGACAUUGCCAAGUAUUCAAUAGGCAGACUGCGGCCUCACUUCUUGGAUGUUUGUGAUCCAGAUUGGUCAAAAAUCAACUGCAGCGAUGGUUACAUUGAAUACUACAUAUGUCGAGGGAAUGCAGAAAGAGUUAAGGAAGGCAGGUUGUCCUUCUAUUCAGGCCACUCUUCGUUUUCCAUGUACUGCAUGCUGUUUGUGGCACUUUAUCUUCAAGCCAGGAUGAAGGGAGACUGGGCAAGACUCUUACGCCCCACACUGCAAUUUGGUCUUGUUGCCGUAUCCAUUUAUGUGGGCCUUUCUCGAGUUUCUGAUUAUAAACACCACUGGAGCGAUGUGUUGACUGGACUCAUUCAGGGAGCUCUGGUUGCAAUAUUAGUUGCUGUAUAUGUAUCGGAUUUCUUCAAAGAAAGAACUUCUUUUAAAGAAAGAAAAGAGGAGGACUCUCAUACAACUCUGCAUGAAACACCAACAACUGGGAAUCACUAUCCGAGCAAUCACCAGCCUUGAAAGGCAGCAGGGUGCCCAGGUGAAGCUGGCCUGUUUUCUAAAGGAAAAUGAUUGCCACAAGGCAAGAGGAUGCAUCUUUCUUCCUGGUGUACAAGCCUUUAAAGACUUCUGCUGCUGCUAUGCCUCUUGGAUGCACACUUUGUGUGUACAUAGUUACCUUUAACUCAGUGGUUAUCUAAUAGCUCUAAACUCAUUAAAAAAACUCCAAGCCUUCCACCAAAACAGUGCCCCACCUGUAUACAUUUUUAUUAAAAAAAUGUAAUGCUUAUGUAUAAACAUGUAUGUAAUAUGCUUUCUAUGAAUGAUGUUUGAUUUAAAUAUAAUACAUAUUAAAAUGUAUGGGAGAACCAAA
This is an RNA transcript of Homo sapiens (human), 1697 nucleotides long. It is a transcript of the gene named phospholipid phosphatase 1, with no coding region annotated. NCBI's taxonomy places the organism in Eukaryota, Metazoa, Chordata, Mammalia, Primates, Hominidae. The record is from RefSeq and is marked reviewed. The transcript has 7 exons.